Molecule: long non-coding RNA, 796 nt
Filed under: Marmota monax (woodchuck)
Lineage: Eukaryota; Metazoa; Chordata; Mammalia; Rodentia; Sciuridae
Source: RNAcentral
CUGAGAUUCUAGAAGUAGAGUUUAGAUUUCCCUCACCAACGCUUAGAUUAUUUGCUUCAAAAGGAGCCGCUCACCUGGGGCCUUCGCCUGAGACCUGGAACCUACCUACGUGAUGCAUCCUUUGGAAAGGGAUCCAAGAAAGAGGGGAAGAAAAGUGCAUUUACCUGUCCAAGGCUGGGAAUGAAAAUGGGUGGGUCGGAGGCCAGCCAGGUUUUACUUUCCCUUCUCUUUCUUUUUCCUCUCUCUCUCUCUCUCUCUCUCUCUCUCUCUCUCUCUCUCUCUCUGUGGGCAGAGGCCAGGUUCCCUGGGGAAGGAUGGACAGAGAGACAGCUCCAGCUUGCUGCCCUGGAUGUGUGUGUGUGUGUAUGUUUGGCCAGGAGGGAGCCCCCACAAUCUCCCCUGAGAGAACCUAGGAGGCUGCAGGUGAGCCCCAGGACAGGUGAUUAGAAGGUGAGGCCCCGGCAGAGGAGACUUAAGGGUGACUUCUGGGCUGCUGGGGGAGAAGGAAAUGCCAAGCCAAGAAUUCUCCUGGAAGAAGCAGAACGGAGGUGAGCCUGGGACAGGUCACUGUAGAAAAAAAUGUUUUGAAGGAAGUCCCUGCUCCUCACUGUCUGCUGCAACGGGAGCUUGAGCCUGUGUCACUGCCCUGCCCACCCAGAACAUUCAGGCCCCAGGUUUCACCACGGCUUCACCUUGUUGCUUUCUAUUCAGGCCAUUCUCAGUGGUUGAUGCUGCUUUUCUUUGUUCUGCUUUCUUUCUCCCAGUGCAGUGAACCCUUACAUUAUGGGUUUCUGUU